UGUUGUCCGACUCUGUUGCCUCCGGGGCGACCCUGCCUUCGGGCGGGGGCUCCGGGUGGACACUUCAAACUCUUGCGUAACUUUGCAGUCUGAGUAAACUUAAUUAAUAAAUUAAAACUUUUAACAACGGAUCUCUUGGUUCUGGCAUCGAUGAAGAACGCAGCGAAAUGCGAUAAGUAAUGUGAAUUGCAGAAUUCAGUGAAUCAUCGAAUCUUUGAACGCACAUUGCGCCCCCUGGUAUUCCGGGGGGCAUGCCUGUUCGAGCGUCAUUUCACCACUCAAGCCUCGCUUGGUAUUGGGCAACGCGGUCCGCCGCGUGCCUCAAAUCGACCGGCUGGGUCUUCUGUCCCCUAAGCGUUGUGGAAACUAUUCGCUAAAGGGUGUUCGGGAGGCUACGCCGUAAAACAACCCCAUUUCUAAGGUUGACCUCGGAUCAGGUAGGGAUACCCGCUGAACUUAAGCAUAUC
RNAcentral lists this ribosomal RNA (467 nucleotides) under Cladosporium uredinicola. RNAcentral's name for it is "eukaryotic LSU rRNA". The stretch from base 116 to 269 matches the Rfam family "5.8S ribosomal RNA". Lineage: Eukaryota; Fungi; Ascomycota; Dothideomycetes; Cladosporiales; Cladosporiaceae. The record is from RNAcentral.